CAAAACUCAUUAAAACUAAAAUUACUCCCUCAAUUAAUUAUAAAUUCUAAAAGCUUUAUUUUAAUAAUUAAUCUUUGAAUGAAAAGGAGAAUAGUGAGCAUCCGCUUCAUUAUCUCUCGAUUAUUCGAAUAAUUGGCGUACGCCACAUUGCUCGAAUCUUCGUCAUCAAAUUAAAACACAAUCGAAUAAAUUCAAACUAUUUUCACAAACCAAACAAAACACCCAAACACAUCAAUUCAACUUGUCACCCCCGUGUGACCGAAACCCUUUUCAAAAAGAACACUGUCAAUCCUUUCUAAUGCGCAUAACAAACCAACGCUUAAGCCUCCGCCGAGAGUAGACAAGCCAUCG
RNAcentral lists this long non-coding RNA (351 nucleotides) under Lathyrus oleraceus (garden pea). RNAcentral describes it as "Pisum sativum (pea) long non-coding RNA (PSAT_LNC039947)". The record is from RNAcentral. Lineage: Eukaryota; Viridiplantae; Streptophyta; Magnoliopsida; Fabales; Fabaceae.